Molecule: ribosomal RNA, 372 nt
Filed under: uncultured bacterium
Lineage: Bacteria
Description: partial 16S ribosomal RNA
Rfam family: Bacterial small subunit ribosomal RNA
Source: RNAcentral
CCUACGGGAGGCUGCAGUGGGGAAUAUUGGGCAAUGGGCGCAAGCCUGACCCAGCAACGCCGCGUGAAGGAAGAAGGCUUUCGGGUUGUAAACUUCUUUUUUUAGGGACGAAGAAAGUGACGGUACUUGAGGAUUAAGCACCGGUUAACUCCGUGCCAGCAGCCGCGGCAAUACGUCGGUGGCAAGCGUUCGCCGGAUUUACUGGGUGUAAAGGGCGUGUAGGCGGGAAAGCAAGUCAGAUGUGAAAACCAUGGGUUCAACCGGUGGUCUGCAUUUGAAACUGUUUUUCUUGAGUACUGGAGAGGCAGACGGAAUUCCUAGUGUAGCGGUGAAAUGCGUAGAUAUAAGGAGGAACACCAGUGGCGAAGGCGG